This 465-nucleotide ribosomal RNA is filed under the name Vreelandella stevensii. RNAcentral's name for it is "partial 16S ribosomal RNA". It matches the Rfam family "Bacterial small subunit ribosomal RNA", at positions 338 to 795 of the family's 1533-position model. Lineage: Bacteria; Pseudomonadati; Pseudomonadota; Gammaproteobacteria; Oceanospirillales; Halomonadaceae. The record is from RNAcentral.
CCUACGGGGGGCAGCAGUGGGGAAUAUUGGACAAUGGGGGGAACCCUGAUCCAGCCAUGCCGCGUGUGUGAAGAAGGCCCUCGGGUUGUAUAGCACUUUCAGUGAGGAAGAACGCCUGGUGGUUAAUACCCAUCAGGAAAGACAUCACUCACAGAAGAAGCACCGGCUAACUCCGUGCCAGCAGCCGCGGUAAUACGGAGGGUGCGAGCGUUAAUCGGAAUUACUGGGCGUAAAGCGCGCGUAGGUGGCUUGAUAAGCCGGUUGUGAAAGCCCCGGGCUCAACCUGGGAACGGCAUCCGGAACUGUCAAGCUAGAGUGCAGGAGAGGAAGGUAGAAUUCCCGGUGUAGCGGUGAAAUGCGUAGAGAUCGGGAGGAAUACCAGUGGCGAAGGCGGCCUUCUGGACUGACACUGACACUGAGGUGCGAAAGCGUGGGUAGCAAACAGGAUUAGAUACCCCAGUAGUC